Molecule: ribosomal RNA, 1864 nt
Filed under: Escherichia coli
Lineage: Bacteria; Pseudomonadati; Pseudomonadota; Gammaproteobacteria; Enterobacterales; Enterobacteriaceae
Description: partial 23S ribosomal RNA
Rfam family: Bacterial large subunit ribosomal RNA
Source: RNAcentral
GGUUAAGCGACUAAGCGUACACGGUGGAUGCCCUGGCAGUCAGAGGCGAUGAAGGACGUGCUAAUCUGCGAUAAGCGUCGGUAAGGUGAUAUGAACCGUUAUAACCGGCGAUUUCCGAAUGGGGAAACCCAGUGUGUUUCGACACACUAUCAUUAACUGAAUCCAUAGGUUAAUGAGGCGAACCGGGGGAACUGAAACAUCUAAGUACCCCGAGGAAAAGAAAUCAACCGAGAUUCCCCCAGUAGCGGCGAGCGAACGGGGAGGAGCCCAGAGCCUGAAUCAGUGUGUGUGUUAGUGGAAGCGUCUGGAAAGGCGCGCGAUACAGGGUGACAGCCCCGUACACAAAAAUGCACAUGCUGUGAGCUCGAUGAGUAGGGCGGGACACGUGGUAUCCUGUCUGAAUAUGGGGGGACCAUCCUCCAAGGCUAAAUACUCCUGACUGACCGAUAGUGAACCAGUACCGUGAGGGAAAGGCGAAAAGAACCCCGGCGAGGGGAGUGAAAAAGAACCUGAAACCGUGUACGUACAAGCAGUGGGAGCAUGCUUAGGCGUGUGACUGCGUACCUUUUGUAUAAUGGGUCAGCGACUUAUAUUCUGUAGCAAGGUUAACCGAAUAGGGGAGCCGAAGGGAAACCGAGUCUUAACUGGGCGUUAAGUUGCAGGGUAUAGACCCGAAACCCGGUGAUCUAGCCAUGGGCAGGUUGAAGGUUGGGUAACACUAACUGGAGGACCGAACCGACUAAUGUUGAAAAAUUAGCGGAUGACUUGUGGCUGGGGGUGAAAGGCCAAUCAAACCGGGAGAUAGCUGGUUCUCCCCGAAAGCUAUUUAGGUAGCGCCUCGUGAACUCAUCUCCGGGGGUAGAGCACUGUUUCGGCAAGGGGGUCAUCCCGACUUACCAACCCGAUGCAAACUGCGAAUACCGGAGAAUGUUAUCACGGGAGACACACGGCGGGUGCUAACGUCCGUCGUGAAGAGGGAAACAACCCAGACCGCCAGCUAAGGUCCCAAAGUCAUGGUUAAGUGGGAAACGAUGUGGGAAGGCCCAGACAGCCAGGAUGUUGGCUUAGAAGCAGCCAUCAUUUAAAGAAAGCGUAAUAGCUCACUGGUCGAGUCGGCCUGCGCGGAAGAUGUAACGGGGCUAAACCAUGCACCGAAGCUGCGGCAGCGACGCUUAUGCGUUGUUGGGUAGGGGAGCGUUCUGUAAGCCUGUGAAGGUGUACUGUGAGGUAUGCUGGAGGUAUCAGAAGUGCGAAUGCUGACAUAAGUAACGAUAAAGCGGGUGAAAAGCCCGCUCGCCGGAAGACCAAGGGUUCCUGUCCAACGUUAAUCGGGACAGGGUGAGUCGACCCCUAAGGCGAGGCCGAAAGGCGUAGUCGAUGGGAAACAGGUUAAUAUUCCUGUACUUGGUGUUACUGCGAAGGGGGGACGGAGAAGGCUAUGUUGGCCGGGCGACGGUUGUCCCGGUUUAAGCGUGUAGGCUGGUUUUCCAGGCAAAUCCGGAAAAUCAAGGCUGAGGCGUGAUGACGAGGCACUACUGUGCUGAAGCAACAAAUGCCCUGCUUCCAGGAAAAGCCUCUAAGCAUCAGGUAACAUCAAAUCGUACCCCAAACCGACACAGGUGGUCAGGUAGAGAAUACCAAGGCGCUUGAGAGAACUCGGGUGAAGGAACUAGGCAAAAUGGUGCCGUAACUUCGGGAGAAGGCACGCUGAUAUGUAGGUGAAGCGACUUGCUCGUGGAGCUGAAAUCAGUCGAAGAUACCAGCUGGCUGCAACUGUUUAUUAAAAACACAGCACUGUGCAAACACGAAAGUGGACGUAUACGGUGUGACGCCUGCCCGGUGCCGGAAGGUUAAUUGAUGGGGU